CCUACGGGGGGCAGCAGUGAGGAAUAUUGGUCAAUGGGCGGGAGCCUGAACCAGCCAAGUCGCGUGAGGGAAGACGGUCCUAUGGAUUGUAAACCUCUUUUAUAAAGGAAUAAAGUGAGGCACGUGUGCCUUUUUGUAUGUACUUUAUGAAUAAGGAUCGGCUAACUCCGUGCCAGCAGCCGCGGUAAUACGGAGGAUCCGAGCGUUAUCCGGAUUUAUUGGGUUUAAAGGGAGCGUAGCUGGAUUGUUAAGUCAGUUGUGAAAGUUUGCGGCUCAACCGUAAAAUUGCAGUUGAAACUGGCAGUCUUGAGUACAGUAGAGGUGGGCGGAAUUCGUGGUGUAGCGGUGAAAUGCUUAGAUAUCACGAAGAACUCCGAUUGCGAAGGCAGCUCACUGGACUGCAACUGACACUGAGGCUCGAAAGUGUGGGUAUCAAACAGGAUUAGAUACCCCUGUAGUC
Molecule: ribosomal RNA, 460 nt
Filed under: uncultured bacterium
Lineage: Bacteria
Description: partial 16S ribosomal RNA
Rfam family: Bacterial small subunit ribosomal RNA
Source: RNAcentral